UGGGCAGGCGUGCAUAUGGGUGGGUCAGGUGGACAGGUGUGCGUAUGAGUGUGCGUAUGGGCGAGUCAGGUGGGCAGACGUGCAUAUGGGUGUGCAUAUGGGUGAUUCAGGUGGACAGGCGUGCGUAUGGGCGGCUCACGUGGACAGGCGUGCGUGUCAGCGUGUCACGUGGACAGGCGUGUGUGUGGGCGGGUCAGGUGGGCAGGCGUGUGUAUGGGCGGGUCAGGUGGGCAGGCGUGCGUAUGGGCGGGUCAGGUGGGCAGGCAUGCCUAUGGGUGUGCGUAUGGGCGAGACAGGUGGGCAGGCGUGCCUAUGGGUGAGUCAGGUGGGCAGGCGUGUGUAUGGGUGUGCAUAUGGGCGAGUCAGGUGGACAGGCAUGCGUAUGGGUGGGUCAGGUGGACAGACGUGCGUAUGGGUGAGUCAGGUGGGCAGACGUGCGUAUGGGUGGGUCAGGUGGGCAGGCGUGCGUAUGGGUGAGUCAGGUGGACAGGUGUGCGUAUGGGUGAGUCAGGUGGACAGGCGUGCGUAUGGCUGUGCGUUUGGGCGAGUCAGGUGGGCAGACGUGCGUAUGGGCAGUCAGGUGGACAGGCGUGUGUAUGGGUGAGUCAGGUGGACCACUGUGUGUACGGGCGAGUCAGGUGGACCGGCGUGCAUAUGGGCAGGUCAGGUGGGUAGGCGUGUGUAUGGAUGUGCAUAUGGGCGGGUCAGGUGGACAGGUGUGUAUAUGGGUGUACAUGUGUGCACAGGUGCUACUUUACUCUGUGUUCAACACGUGUUCGUGGACGUGCUCCAGGCCCAAGGCGAAGGAAUAGGAUGUAGCAGGGGCAGGGUCUCCGCCCCAUACUCAGAGUCCUUGGGCUCCGGGAAGACACAACCGAUAAGUGGUUACGGGGAUGCCUGGGAGCUACGGGCACACACAGACCCUCCUGGGCCCAGCAUAAGGGCCAGGGAAGACUUCCUGGAGUCCAAGUGGAAGCUGCAGGGGAGGACCUCAAGAUGGCUGUCUCCCCCUUUAGAGAUGCUGUGUCCCAGCAAAGGGGCACCUAGAACAGGAAUUCUCAACCUCCCAGGACAACGGGUGGCCGCUGAGAACCCGGGAGACCUGGGGCAAGCGUCUCAGGCUUUCCUCAGCUGCUCCACCUGGAAACCGGGACGGGCAGGACCGCCUCUCGAGGCUGCUGUGAGC
This 1186-nucleotide long non-coding RNA is filed under the name Homo sapiens (human). The record is from RNAcentral. Lineage: Eukaryota; Metazoa; Chordata; Mammalia; Primates; Hominidae.